AGAGCGAACGCUGGCGGCAGGCCUAACACAUGCAAGUCGAGCGCCCGUAGCAAUACGUCAGCGGCAGACGGGUGAGUAACGCGUGGGAACGUACCUUUUGGUUCGGAACAACCCAGGGAAACUUGGGCUAAUACCGGAUAAGCCCUUACGGGGAAAGAUUUAUCGCCGAAAGAUCGGCCCGCGUCUGAUUAGCUAGUUGGUGAGGUAAUGGCUCACCAAGGCGACGAUCAGUAGCUGGUCUGAGAGGAUGAUCAGCCACAUUGGGACUGAGACACGGCCCAAACUCCUACGGGAGGCAGCAGUGGGGAAUAUUGGACAAUGGGCGCAAGCCUGAUCCAGCCAUGCCGCGUGAGUGAUGAAGGCCCUAGGGUUGUAAAGCUCUUUUGUGCGGGAAGAUAAUGACGGUACCGCAAGAAUAAGCCCCGGCUAACUUCGUGCCAGCAGCCGC
RNAcentral lists this ribosomal RNA (448 nucleotides) under uncultured bacterium. Its description in RNAcentral is "SSU rRNA". It matches the Rfam family "Bacterial small subunit ribosomal RNA", at positions 26 to 518 of the family's 1533-position model. The record is from RNAcentral.